Molecule: ribosomal RNA, 428 nt
Filed under: Bacteroidota bacterium
Lineage: Bacteria; Pseudomonadati; Bacteroidota
Description: Bacteroidetes bacterium partial 16S ribosomal RNA
Rfam family: Bacterial small subunit ribosomal RNA
Source: RNAcentral
UAGGGAAUCUUCCGCAAUGGACGCAAGUCUGACGGAGCAACGCCGCGUGAGUGAAGAAGGAUUUCGGUUCGUAAAACUCUGUUGUUAGAGAAGAACAGCGCAUAGAGUAACUGUUGUGCGUGUGACGGUAUCUAACCAGAAAGCCACGGCUAACUACGUGCCAGCAGCCGCGGUAAUACGUAGGUGGCAAGCGUUGUCCGGAUUUAUUGGGCGUAAAGCGAGCGCAGGCGGUUAGAAAAGUCUGAAGUGAAAGGCAGUGGCUCAACCAUUGUAGGCUUUGGAAACUGUUUAACUUGAGUGCAGAAGGGGAGAGUGGAAUUCCAUGUGUAGCGGUGAAAUGCGUAGAUAUAUGGAGGAACACCGGUGGCGAAAGCGGCUCUCUGGUCUGUAACUGACGCUGAGGCUCGAAAGCGUGGGGAGCGAACAGG